UUGUAUAAUGGGUCAGCGACUUAUAUUCUGUAGCAAGGUUAACCGUAUAGGGGAGCCGGAGGGAAACCGAGUCUUAACCGGGCGUUAAGUUGCAGGGUAUAGACCCGAAACCCGGUGAUCUAGCCAUGGGCAGGUUGAAGGUUGGGUAACACUAACUGGAGGACCGAACCGACUAAUGUUGAAAAAUUAGCGGAUGACCUGUGGCUGGGGGUGAAAGGCCAAUCAAACCGGGAGAUAGCUGGUUCUCCCCGAAAGCUAUUUAGGUAGCGCCUCGUGAAUUCAUCUCCGGGGGUAGAGCACUGUUUCGGCUAGGGGGCCAUCCCGGCUUACCAACCCGAUGCAAACUGCGAAUACCGGAGAAUGUUAUCACGGGAGACACACGGCGGGUGCUAACGUCCGUCGUGAAGAGGGAAACAACCCAGACCGCCAGCUAAGGUCCCAAAGUCAUGGUUAAGUGGGAAACGAUGUGGGAAGGCCCAGACAGCCAGGAUGUUGGCUUAGAAGCAGCCAUCAUUUAAAGAAAGCGUAAUAGCUCACUGGUCGAGUCGGCCUGCGCGGAAGAUGUAACGGGGCUAAACCAUG
This 582-nucleotide ribosomal RNA is filed under the name Salmonella enterica. RNAcentral's name for it is "partial 23S ribosomal RNA". It matches the Rfam family "Bacterial large subunit ribosomal RNA", at positions 608 to 1191 of the family's 2925-position model. Lineage: Bacteria; Pseudomonadati; Pseudomonadota; Gammaproteobacteria; Enterobacterales; Enterobacteriaceae. RNAcentral also lists the same sequence under 1 other name. The record is from RNAcentral.